GGAUAAACAUCCAGACCAAAGUCAACAGUGCUAGAGAAUCCAACCCGGUCUCCGUAGCCAGCGAGGUUUGGACACAUGAAUUCAGCCUCAAGUCCUUGAAAGAACUUUUGUGCAUCUGAUUCUUAAGCAGCCUUGCCUUGGGACGUUGCGGGUGAGGGCAAUCACACAGUUCCAGUAGCAGCGCAGGAACUGUUAGAUUUUCAUCAGCAUGACUUUCUUUCUGGAGGCUGGCAAGUCCAAGAUCAAGGCGCCCGCAUGGUUGGUUUCAGUUCAGUGGAUGUAAAAUAGUAUUUCAGGUUUUCCCUGGUGGCGCAGUGGUUGAGAAUCCGCCUGCCAAGGCAGGGGAAGGGUUAGAGCCCUGGUUCGGGAAGAUCCCACAUGCUGCAGAGCAACUAACCCCGUGCGCCACAGCUACUGAGCCUGCACUCUAGAGCCCACGAGUCACAACUACUGAGCCCAUGUGCCACAACUACUGAGCCCAUGUUCCACAACUACUGAAGCCCGUGCGCCUGGAGCCCAUGCUCCGCAACAAAAGAAGUCACUGCAAUGAGAAGCCCGUGCACCUCAACGAAGAGUAGCCCCCGCUCGCCGCAACUAGAAAAAGCCCACGCGCAGCAACGAAGAC
Globicephala melas (long-finned pilot whale) is the source of this 625-nucleotide long non-coding RNA. RefSeq lists it as uncharacterized. NCBI's taxonomy places the organism in Eukaryota, Metazoa, Chordata, Mammalia, Artiodactyla, Delphinidae. The record is from RefSeq and is a predicted model, not a curated record.